ACUCCUACGGGAGGCAGCAGUGGGGAAUAUUGCACAAUGGGCGCAAGCCUGAUGCAGCCAUGCCGCGUGUAUGAAGAAGGCCUUCGGGUUGUAAAGUACUUUCAGCAGUGAGGAAGGUGGGUAUGUUAAUAGCAUACUCAUUUGACGUUAGCUGCAGAAGAAGCACCGGCUAACUCCGUGCCAGCAGCCGCGGUAAUACGGAGGGUGCGAGCGUUAAUCGGAAUUACUGGGCGUAAAGCGCAUGCAGGUGGUUUGUUAAGUCAGAUGUGAAAGCCCGGGGCUCAACCUCGGAAUUGCAUUUGAAACUGGCAAACUAGAGUACUGUAGAGGGGGUAGAAUUUCAGGUGUAGUCGGUAGAAAUAGCGUAGAGAUCUAGAAGGAAUACUGGUAGGCGAAGGCGGACCCCCUGGACAGAUACUGACACUCAGAUAGCGAAAGCGUGGGGAGCAAACAGGAUUAGAUACCCGUGUAAGGCUCUGAC
RNAcentral lists this ribosomal RNA (481 nucleotides) under uncultured bacterium. RNAcentral's name for it is "bacterial SSU rRNA". It matches the Rfam family "Bacterial small subunit ribosomal RNA", at positions 335 to 801 of the family's 1533-position model. The record is from RNAcentral.